Molecule: long non-coding RNA, 488 nt
Organism: Rhipicephalus sanguineus (brown dog tick)
Lineage: Eukaryota; Metazoa; Arthropoda; Arachnida; Ixodida; Ixodidae
Exons: 4
Source: RefSeq, a predicted model, not a curated record
CAGAUCACGGUCCACGUACGCAUUCACAAGGACUUCCAUACAAAAAGCAUACCCACCAUGAUAUACCUCUAUGCAGGCGGGUAUCCGCUUGCCCAAAGGGUUGGGUUCAGUUAUGCCUAACACCUGCUAAUCAAUGGACAAUUUUUUGUGUACAAAAAAACAUGACCUGCGAGAGCUACUGGCGAAACAUUUGCACACAGAAGUCUGUUCCUUACUGUAACUCAGUUCCUAAACACUGCAUCUGUGUUUGUGCUGCUAGCAGAGCCGUAAUGGAAGCAAAAAAUAAGGGAGAUCAUUCAUAGGAAAAAAGGAAACCCCGACGAAGGACCACAGUCUCGUGUUCAUAUAACACCAGUGCAAAUGAGAGCCAAUACUUGACACACCAGCUAUUGAUACGUCCGUGCGGCGCAACCAACGCCUUACAGCAUCACACGUAUCAAUAAAACAAAAUUAUGAAAGUUUCAUUCGCUUGAUUGAGACUUUCAGGU